CGUGCUUAACACAUGCAAGUCGAACGGAAAGGCCCUGCUUUUGUGGGGUGCUCGAGUGGCGAACGGGUGAGUAACACGUGAGUAACCUGCCCUUGACUUUGGGAUAACUUCAGGAAACUGGGGCUAAUACCGGAUAGGAGCUCCUGCUGCAUGGUGGGGGUUGGAAAGUUUCGGCGGUUGGGGAUGGACUCGCGGCUUAUCAGCUUGUUGGUGGGGUAGUGGCUUACCAAGGCUUUGACGGGUAGCCGGCCUGAAAGGGUGACCGGCCACAUUGGGACUGAGAUACGGCCCAGACUCCUACGGGAGGCAGCAGUGGGGAAUAUUGCACAAUGGGCGGAAGCCUGAUGCAGCAACGCCGCGUGCGGGAUGACGGCCUUCGGGUUGUAAACCGCUUUCGCCUGUGACGAAGCGUGAGUGACGGUAAUGGGUAAAGAAGCACCGGCUAACUACGUGCCAGCAGCCGCGGUGAUACGUAGGGUGCGAGCGUUGUCCGGAUUUAUUGGGCGUAAAGGGCUCGUAGGUGGUUGAUCGCGUCGGAAGUGUAAUCUUGGGGCUUAACCCUGAGCGUGCUUUCGAUACGGGUUGACUUGAGGAAGGUAGGGGAGAAUGGAAUUCCUGGUGGAGCGGUGGAAUGCGCAGAUAUCAGGAGGAACACCAGUGGCGAAGGCGGUUCUCUGGGCCUUUCCUGACGCUGAGGAGCGAAAGCGUGGGGAGCGAACAGGCUUAGAUACCCUGGUAGUCCACGCUGUAAACGGUGGGUACUAGGUGUGGGGUCCAUUCCACGGGUUCCGUGCCGUAGCUAACGCUUUAAGUACCCCGCCUGGGGAGUACGGCCGCAAGGCUAAAACUCAAAGGAAUUGACGGGGCCCCGCACAAGCGGCGGAGCAUGCGGAUUAAUUCGAUGCAACGCGUAGAACCUUACCUGGGUUUGACAUGGAUCGGGAGUGCUCAGAGAUGGGUGUGCCUCUUUUGGGGUCGGUUCACAGGUGGUGCAUGGCUGUCGUCAGCUCGUGUCGUGAGAUGUUGGGUUAAGUCCCGCAACGAGCGCAACCCUUGUUCACUGUUGCCAGCACGUUAUGGUGGGGACUCAGUGGAGACCGCCGGGGUCAACUUGGAGGAAGGUGGGGAUGACGUCAAGUCAUCAUGCCCCUUAUGUCCAGGGCUUCACGCAUGCUACAAUGGCUGGUACAGAGAGUGGCGAGCCUGUGAGGGUGAGCGAAUCUCGGAAAGCCGGUCUCAGUUCGGAUUGGGGUCUGCAACUCGACCUCAUGAAGUCGGAGUCGCUAGUAAUCGCAGAUCAGCAACGCUGCGGUGAAUACGUUCCCGGGGCUUGUACACACCGCCCGUCAAGUCAUGAAAGUUGGUAACACCCGAAGCCGGUGGCCUAACCGUUGUGGGGGAGCCGUCGAAGGUGGGACUGGUGAUUAGGACUAA
This 1434-nucleotide ribosomal RNA is filed under the name uncultured organism. RNAcentral's name for it is "16S ribosomal RNA". It matches the Rfam family "Bacterial small subunit ribosomal RNA". The record is from RNAcentral.